Molecule: ribosomal RNA, 253 nt
Filed under: uncultured bacterium
Lineage: Bacteria
Description: partial 16S ribosomal RNA
Rfam family: Bacterial small subunit ribosomal RNA
Source: RNAcentral
UACGGAGGGUGCAAGCGUUGUUCGGAAUCACUGGGCUUAAAGCGUGCGUAGGCGGAUCUGUAAGUCAGAAGUGAAAUCCCUGGGCUUAACCCAGGAAUUGCUUUUGAGACUGCAAGUCUAGAAACCGGAAGAGGUUAGCGGAACUCCCAGUGUAGAGGUGAAAUUCGCAGAUAUUGGGAAGAACACCAGUGGCGAAGGCGGCUAACUGGUCCGGUAUUGACGCUGAGGCACGAAAGCGUGGGUAGCAAACAGG